RNAcentral lists this transfer RNA (78 nucleotides) under Bacillota bacterium. RNAcentral's name for it is "Firmicutes bacterium (anaerobic digester metagenome) tRNA-Pro". It matches the Rfam family "tRNA". Rfam says of the family: Transfer RNA (tRNA) molecules are approximately 80 nucleotides in length. Their secondary structure includes four short double-helical elements and three loops (D, anti-codon, and T loops). Lineage: Bacteria; Bacillati; Bacillota. The record is from RNAcentral.
CGGGGCGUGGCGCAGCUUGGUUAGCGCGUUUGACUGGGGGUCAAAAGGCCGCUGGUUCGAAUCCAGUCGCCCCGACCA